UAACACUAACUGGAGGACCGAACCGACUAAUGUUGAAAAAUUAGCGGAUGACUUGUGGCUGGGGGUGAAAGGCCAAUCAAACCGGGAGAUAGCUGGUUCUCCCCGAAAGCUAUUUAGGUAGCGCCUCGUGAAUUCAUCUCCGGGGGUAGAGCACUGUUUCGGCAAGGGGGUCAUCCCGACUUACCAACCCGAUGCAAACUGCGAAUACCGGAGAAUGUUAUCACGGGAGACACACGGCGGGUGCUAACGUCCGUCGUGAAGAGGGAAACAACCCAGACCGCCAGCUAAGGUCCCAAAGUCAUGGUUAAGUGGGAAACGAUGUGGGAAGGCCCAGACAGCCAGGAUGUUGGCUUAGAAGCAGCCAUCAUUUAAAGAAAGCGUAAUAGCUCACUGGUCGAGUCGGCCUGCGCGGAAGAUGUAACGGGGCUAAACCAUGCACCGAAGCUGCGGCAGCGACGCUUAUGCGUUGUUGGGUAGGGGAGCGUUCUGUAAGCCUGUGAAGGUGGCCUGUGAGGGUUGCUGGAGGUAUCAGAAGUGCGAAUGCUGACAUAAGUAACGAUAAAGCGGGUGAAAAGCCCGCUCGCCGGAAGACCAAGGGUUCCUGUCCAACGUUAAUCGGGGCAGGGUGAGUCGAC
This 635-nucleotide ribosomal RNA is filed under the name Escherichia coli. Its description in RNAcentral is "partial 23S ribosomal RNA". It matches the Rfam family "Bacterial large subunit ribosomal RNA", at positions 757 to 1388 of the family's 2925-position model. The record is from RNAcentral. Lineage: Bacteria; Pseudomonadati; Pseudomonadota; Gammaproteobacteria; Enterobacterales; Enterobacteriaceae.